GAGGACCAGAAAUACUUGGUAUUCAGUG
This 28-nucleotide non-coding RNA is filed under the name Mus musculus (house mouse). The record is from RNAcentral. Lineage: Eukaryota; Metazoa; Chordata; Mammalia; Rodentia; Muridae.